Molecule: ribosomal RNA, 547 nt
Filed under: uncultured bacterium
Lineage: Bacteria
Description: partial 16S ribosomal RNA
Rfam family: Bacterial small subunit ribosomal RNA
Source: RNAcentral
UGGGGAAUUUUGGACAAUGGGGGCAACCCUGAUCCAGCCAUCCCGCGUGUGCGAUGAAGGCCUUCGGGUUGUAAAGCACUUUUGGCAGGGAAGAAACAGCCUGGGAUAAUACCCCGGGCGACUGACGGUACCUGCAGAAUAAGCACCGGCUAACUACGUGCCAGCAGCCGCGGUAAUACGUAGGGUGCAAGCGUUAAUCGGAAUUACUGGGCGUAAAGCGUGCGCAGGCGGUUCGGAAAGAAAGGUGUGAAAUCCCAGGGCUUAACCUUGGAACUGCACUUUUAACUACCGAGCUAGAGUACGUCAGAGGGGGGUAGAAUUCCACGUGUAGCAGUGAAAUGCGUAGAGAUGUGGAGGAAUACCGAUGGCGAAGGCAGCCCCCUGGGAUGAUACUGACGCUCAUGCACGAAAGCGUGGGGAGCAAACAGGAUUAGAUACCCUGGUAGUCCACGCCCUAAACGAUGUCAACUAGUUGUUGGGGAUUCAUUUCCUUAGUAACGUAGCUAACGCGUGAAGUUGACCGCCUGGGGAGUACGGUCGCAAGAUU